Non-coding RNA from Paramuricea clavata, 613 nucleotides. The record is from the annotation of a GenBank genome assembly. NCBI's taxonomy places the organism in Eukaryota, Metazoa, Cnidaria, Anthozoa, Malacalcyonacea, Plexauridae.
CAAGUAUUUGCACCCACUAAUUGCUGCAGGAGAUGUCGUGGAUGUCUAUGUUCAGUGUAUCAAGUAUAGGGUUGACUUUUUUAAUUAAAAAUAGGAUUUUAUCCAAAAAUUUUCAUAAAGACACCUGGGGCCGGUUGUUCAAAGGUGGGUUAGUGCUAACCCUGGGUUAAAAUUUAACCUGCUGUUUUAGUUUGUGUACUUCUAGUCUUCUACACAUAGAUCUGUGUAUUUCAAAACUUCAGAGAAGUAUACUCCUAUUGAUCCAGACAAGAUCUCUGAAGAAAUAUUUCCAAAUUUAUAGAAAAGCUGUCAGGAAGUUUGCUUCGAAUUUUAGGUUAACCAUGGGUUAAACUAACCCAGCUUUGAACAACCGGCCCCUGGUGAGUGGAGACUCGAGUGGUAGGAAAAAGCAUGAGUGUAUGUUGACAGAUGUUUUUUAUAUAAUAAAUAGCAACUACCAAGCUAUGUUUAGCAAGUUAUUAGUGCAUUUAUUUCAAUUGGCUAACUUUUUUAGUUUUUCCAGCAUUUUUUAAACAAACCAUAGGUUAUGAAUGAUAACUGGGUAUAUCUAAUUAAACCAAUCUGUCAUGUACUCAUGCAAAUAAGACUAAGU